RNAcentral lists this ribosomal RNA (405 nucleotides) under uncultured bacterium. RNAcentral describes it as "bacterial SSU rRNA". It matches the Rfam family "Bacterial small subunit ribosomal RNA", at positions 355 to 776 of the family's 1533-position model. The record is from RNAcentral.
UGGGGAAUAUUGCACAAUGGGCGCAAGCCUGAUGCAGCAACGCCGCGUGAAGGAAGACGGUUUUCGGAUUGUAAACUUCUGUUCUUAGUGAAGAAAUUUGACGGUAGCUAAGGAGCAAGCCACGGCUAACUACGUGCCAGCCGCCGCGGUAAUACGUAGGUGGCAAGCGUUGUCCGGAAUUACUGGGUGUAAAGGGAGCGCAGGCGGGAAAGCAAGUCAGCUGUGAAAUCCAUGGGCUCAACCCAUGAACUGCAGUUGAAACUGUUUUUCUUGAGUGAAGUAGAGGUUGGCGGAAUUCCGAGUGUAGCGGUGGAAUGCGUAGAUAUUCGGAGGAACACCGGUGGCGAAGGCGGCCAACUGGGCUUUUACUGACGCUGAGGCUCGAAAGUGUGGGGAGCAAACAGG